This 76-nucleotide transfer RNA is filed under the name Chloroflexota bacterium. RNAcentral describes it as "Chloroflexi bacterium tRNA-Arg". It matches the Rfam family "tRNA". Rfam says of the family: Transfer RNA (tRNA) molecules are approximately 80 nucleotides in length. Their secondary structure includes four short double-helical elements and three loops (D, anti-codon, and T loops). The record is from RNAcentral. Lineage: Bacteria; Bacillati; Chloroflexota. RNAcentral also lists the same sequence under 1 other name.
GUGCCUGUAGCUCAGUGGAUAGAGCGAUUGUCUACGGAACAAUAGGCCGGGAGUUCGAAUCUCUCCAGGCACACCA